GUCGAGAAUCAUUCACAAUGGGGGAAACCCUGAUGGUGUGACGCCGCGUGGAGGAUGAAGGUCUUCGGAUUGUAAACUCCUGUCAUGUGGGAGUAAAGCCGGGUGUUAAAUGCAUGCCGGUCUGAGAGUACCACAAGAGGAAGGGACGGCUAACUCUGUGCCAGCAGCCGCGGUAAUACAGAGGUCCCAAGCGUUGUUCGGAAUCACUGGGCGUAAAGGGUGCGUAGGCGGCGCGGAAAGUCAGGGGUGAAAUCACGGAGCUCAACUCCGGAACUGCCUUUGAUACUCCCGCGCUUGAGAACUGGAGGGGAGACCGGAAUUCACGGUGGAGCAGUGAAAUGCGUGGAUAUCGUGAGGAACACUAGUGGCGAAGGCGGGUCUCUGGACAGUAUCUGACGCUGAGGCACGAAGGCCAGGGGAGCGAACGGGAUUAGAUACCCCGGUAGUCC
This 449-nucleotide ribosomal RNA is filed under the name uncultured bacterium. RNAcentral's name for it is "partial 16S ribosomal RNA". It matches the Rfam family "Bacterial small subunit ribosomal RNA", at positions 354 to 796 of the family's 1533-position model. The record is from RNAcentral.